GUGGCUUCGUGGUUGCUCGUUUCGAGCGUG
RNAcentral lists this small RNA (30 nucleotides) under Bombyx mori (domestic silkworm). RNAcentral's name for it is "ovarian small RNA-17923". Lineage: Eukaryota; Metazoa; Arthropoda; Insecta; Lepidoptera; Bombycidae. The record is from RNAcentral.